Molecule: transfer RNA, 64 nt
Filed under: bovine gut metagenome
Rfam family: tRNA
About the family: Transfer RNA (tRNA) molecules are approximately 80 nucleotides in length. Their secondary structure includes four short double-helical elements and three loops (D, anti-codon, and T loops).
Source: RNAcentral
CCGUGGCUCAGUUGGUAGAGCGUCGCAUUCGUAAUGCGUAGGUCGUGGGUUCGAGUCCCAUCGG